GUAACUACCUUUCACCACAGCUCCACUGGCUGGUCAGGACAAGGAUGCUAUGUCAAAUCUAGUAAUGCUCACCAAACAGAGUGCACCUGCAAUCAUUUGACUCAUUUUGCUGUUCUUCUGGACACGUCAUCUGGUCCAGAGAGAGCCGGUAUAUCAGAGGAAGACGAAAAGGCCUUGGUAAUUCUCACAUACGUUGGGCUGACUCUGUCUGUCAUUGGGAUCUCAUUGACGAUAAUCAGCUAUGUCACGCUCACAGACAUAAGGGGACCUUUAUCUCAGACUCGAGUAAGUCUCGUCACCUCUCUUGGUGCAGGACAAGUCAUAUUUCUUGCUGGGAUUGGAGCAACUAAGAACAAG
This is a long non-coding RNA of Stylophora pistillata, 357 nucleotides long. The record is from RefSeq and is a predicted model, not a curated record. NCBI's taxonomy places the organism in Eukaryota, Metazoa, Cnidaria, Anthozoa, Scleractinia, Pocilloporidae.